Non-coding RNA from Gymnothorax javanicus (giant moray), 67 nucleotides. Lineage: Eukaryota; Metazoa; Chordata; Actinopteri; Anguilliformes; Muraenidae. The record is from the annotation of a GenBank genome assembly.
UGGUAUAGCCUAGUGGUUAGGGUGUUGGGCUACAGCGCAGGUGACCAGUGUUCAAGUUCCUGAUCAG